CCCCAUUAUUUUUUUUUUCUUUUUCUUUUUCUUCUCUUCUUUCACCGUGCCUUAACCCCAGCCUCCCCACCACUCUUCUCCUUCUUUUCUUCUCCGAUCCACGGCCGCCGCCCCUAUUCUUCUUCCUUCUCUUUCGUUUUUCUCUUCCGUUCAAACCACUACCGACUGUCUCUACUUUCGACGAAGCCAAGAUCCCGCCGAGUCCAAGCUUCGUCCACGCAAGCACGCCAACGUCCGAUCUCUUCUCCUCGUUCCGCCGCCGCUGUACCGUUCGCCUGAAGUCGUCGUCCAUUCGGGUUGCACAGUCGAGCCGCCACUCCGCGCGCAUAGUCUACAGCCGAGCCAUUCGCAGCUGAGCCGUUCGCUCCCCACAAAAACCACCCGUGAGCCGCGCGCCGUUUCGUUUAGGUAUUGAAAGUAAUGGUUGGGUCCCUUGUAUUCACAACCAAAAUUGUGAAUUUUGGAGUUCGGCUUGCCAAUACUUGGUAUCUAUCGUUGGAUAUAGUUUAUUCGAGAAAUUGAGUUAUCUUGAGGUAAGGGUUUCUCUACUACUGGACUCAACCACAGUUAUUUAUAUGUAGCAUAUGGAGAUUUUCUGGGAUUAAAUAUGUAGCUGUGGAUGUAGGCAGGACGACCUUAGUAGAUUGUGUUGUAUAUAAUUUUGGAUGUGAAAUUGUGACUUUGAUUCGGUUGGGUGUAGGUUGUACUAAUGUGUGGUUUGUAUUGGUGAACUGAGGGGCGUUUGGUUUGAUUGACUGAUGUAUUAAAAUGUUACCAACGGUCUCUGGACUAAAGUGAGAUAGGUUGACUGUUAGAACGUUAAGUGAGAGAACUAUAUAUGUUGAAGUAGUUGAAUGGUGUUAUAAAUGACUGUUAAAGAGGUUUAGAAUGGACUGAGCUAAAAAUUGUUAGCUUUUAUUGGGAUGUGUGCCUUGUAGGUGGCCUACGGGAUCACCAAUUAUUAUGCAUCUUUCGGGAGCAUUAGAUUGAUAUGUGUUUCUGCAUAACACUAGACUGAAAUGUACGUCCCUUGAGACGUUAGACUGAUACGGGAUCACAAGACGGUGACUGUGCAGGGCAAAGGGUAACAAGAGUGGCAAACCGGCGAGGGGCAAGAAGGAAGUGUGAUUGUCAUAGGGAACAUCUUUAUUUUGCUUCCGCUUUACGUUUUUUGAUGUUUAAAACAUUGUGUUGGAACUUAUUUUACGAACUAUUACUUUGGUAAACGGUACUUUUAAAGUUUUAGUUGUUUGAAACCGGGCCUGUUUAAAGUUGUUUUUCCUCGAUUGUAUGUUUUUCAAAUGUCCUAUAUUUCAUUUUGUAUCAAUCAAGAUCUUUUGUCAAAAGUUAAAGAUCUCGACUUAGGUAGAAAAGUUGGGUCGUUACAUUUUCGAAUUUUUUUAAAGUUUUAGAAACAUUUUUUAAA
Molecule: long non-coding RNA, 1426 nt
Organism: Cucumis sativus (cucumber)
Lineage: Eukaryota; Viridiplantae; Streptophyta; Magnoliopsida; Cucurbitales; Cucurbitaceae
Exons: 4
Source: RefSeq, a predicted model, not a curated record